UAGGGAAUCUUCCACAAUGGACGCAAGUCUGAUGGAGCAACGCCGCGUGAGUGAAGAAGGGUUUCGGCUCGUAAAGCUCUGUUGGUAGUGAAGAAAGAUAGAGGUAGUAACUGGCCUUUAUUUGACGGUAAUUACUUAGAAAGUCACGGCUAACUACGUGCCAGCAGCCGCGGUAAUACGUAGGUCCCGAACGUUAUCCGGAUUUAUUGGGCGUAAAGCGAGCGCAGGCGGUUAGAUAAGUCUGAAGUUAAAGGCUGUGGCUUAACCAUAGUACGCUUUGGAAACUGUUUAACUUGAGUGCAGAAGGGGAGAGUGGAAUUCCAUGUGUAGCGGUGAAAUGCGUAGAUAUAUGGAGGAACACCGGUGGCGAAAGCGGCUCUCUGGUCUGUAACUGACGCUGAGGCUCGAAAGCGUGGGGAGCAAACAGGAUUAGAUACCCUGGUAGUCCACGCCGUAAACGAUGAGUGCUAGGUGUUGGGUCCUUUCCGGGACUCAGUGCCGCAGCUAACGCAUUAAGCACUCCGCCUGGGGAGUACGACCACAAGGUUG
RNAcentral lists this ribosomal RNA (549 nucleotides) under uncultured bacterium. RNAcentral's name for it is "bacterial SSU rRNA". It matches the Rfam family "Bacterial small subunit ribosomal RNA", at positions 355 to 896 of the family's 1533-position model. The record is from RNAcentral.